Molecule: ribosomal RNA, 1316 nt
Filed under: Microbacterium esteraromaticum
Lineage: Bacteria; Bacillati; Actinomycetota; Actinomycetes; Micrococcales; Microbacteriaceae
Description: bacterial SSU rRNA
Rfam family: Bacterial small subunit ribosomal RNA
Source: RNAcentral
AGUGGCGAACGGGUGAGUAACACGUGAGCAACCUGCCCCUGACUCUGGGAUAAGCGCUGGAAACGGCGUCUAAUACUGGAUAUGUCCCAUCACCGCAUGGUGUGUGGGUGGAAAGAUUUUUCGGUUGGGGAUGGGCUCGCGGCCUAUCAGCUUGUUGGUGAGGUAAUGGCUCACCAAGGCGUCGACGGGUAGCCGGCCUGAGAGGGUGACCGGCCACACUGGGACUGAGACACGGCCCAGACUCCUACGGGAGGCAGCAGUGGGGAAUAUUGCACAAUGGGCGGAAGCCUGAUGCAGCAACGCCGCGUGAGGGAUGACGGCCUUCGGGUUGUAAACCUCUUUUAGCAGGGAAGAAGCGAGAGUGACGGUACCUGCAGAAAAAGCACCGGCUAACUACGUGCCAGCAGCCGCGGUAAUACGUAGGGUGCAAGCGUUAUCCGGAAUUAUUGGGCGUAAAGAGCUCGUAGGCGGUCUGUCGCGUCUGCUGUGAAAUUCCGAGGCUCAACCUCGGGCUUGCAGUGGGUACGGGCAGACUAGAGUGCGGUAGGGGAGAUUGGAAUUCCUGGUGUAGCGGUGGAAUGCGCAGAUAUCAGGAGGAACACCGAUGGCGAAGGCAGAUCUCUGGGCCGUAACUGACGCUGAGGAGCGAAAGGGUGGGGAGCAAACAGGCUUAGAUACCCUGGUAGUCCACCCCGUAAACGUUGGGAACUAGUUGUGGGGUCCUUUCCACGGAUUCCGUGACGCAGCUAACGCAUUAAGUUCCCCGCCUGGGGAGUACGGCCGCAAGGCUAAAACUCAAAGGAAUUGACGGGGACCCGCACAAGCGGCGGAGCAUGCGGAUUAAUUCGAUGCAACGCGAAGAACCUUACCAAGGCUUGACAUACACGAGAACGGGCCAGAAAUGGUCAACUCUUUGGACACUCGUGAACAGGUGGUGCAUGGUUGUCGUCAGCUCGUGUCGUGAGAUGUUGGGUUAAGUCCCGCAACGAGCGCAACCCUCGUUCUAUGUUGCCAGCACGUAAUGGUGGGAACUCAUGGGAUACUGCCGGGGUCAACUCGGAGGAAGGUGGGGAUGACGUCAAAUCAUCAUGCCCCUUAUGUCUUGGGCUUCACGCAUGCUACAAUGGCCGGUACAAUGGGCUGCAAUACCGUGAGGUGGAGCGAAUCCCAAAAAGCCGGUCCCAGUUCGGAUUGAGGUCUGCAACUCGACCUCAUGAAGUCGGAGUCGCUAGUAAUCGCAGAUCAGCAACGCUGCGGUGAAUACGUUCCCGGGUCUUGUACACACCGCCCGUCAAGUCAUGAAAGUCGGUAACACC